RNAcentral lists this ribosomal RNA (379 nucleotides) under uncultured Cephalothrix sp. RNAcentral describes it as "bacterial SSU rRNA". It matches the Rfam family "Bacterial small subunit ribosomal RNA", at positions 376 to 770 of the family's 1533-position model. Lineage: Bacteria; Bacillati; Cyanobacteriota; Cyanophyceae; Aerosakkonematales; Aerosakkonemataceae. The record is from RNAcentral.
CGAAAGCCUGACGGAGCAAGACCGCGUGAGGGAGGAAGGCUCUUGGGUUGUAAACCUCUUUUCUCCGGGAAGAAGCACUGACGGUACCUGAGGAAUCAGCAUCGGCUAACUCCGUGCCAGCAGCCGCGGUAAUACGGAGGAUGCAAGCGUUAUCCGGAAUCAUUGGGCGUAAAGCGUCCGCAGGUGGCUCUUCAAGUCUGCCGUCAAAACUCAGGGCUUAACCCUGAACAGGCGGUGGAAACUGAAAAGCUAGAGUGCGGUAGGGGUAGAGGGAAUUCCCGGUGUAGCGGUGAAAUGCGUAGAGAUUGGGAAGAACACCAGUGGCGAAGGCGCUCUACUGGGCCGUAACUGACGCUCAGGGACGAAAGCUAGGGGAGCG